AAGAUUUCUAGUGAAGUCUUCUAGGAAGUCUUUCAAAACCUAACCUAAUCAAAUAAAUAACCAAAUAACAAAAAAAACAAUUCAUUAAACUUAAAUCAACUUAUAAAGUGUUUUACACAAAACUAAACACAUGUAAAUCAAAUUUAUUUUUUAUUUUUUAAAAGUUAAGAUUUUGAAAUCUAAUCGUAAAAAUACAAACAAUAUUAUAACAUAUGUUACCAAACCUAAACCAAAG
This 235-nucleotide long non-coding RNA is filed under the name Brassica rapa (field mustard). RNAcentral's name for it is "long non-coding RNA (BRAP_LNC002590)". The record is from RNAcentral. Lineage: Eukaryota; Viridiplantae; Streptophyta; Magnoliopsida; Brassicales; Brassicaceae.